Long non-coding RNA from Folsomia candida, 2032 nucleotides. RefSeq lists it as uncharacterized. The record is from RefSeq and is a predicted model, not a curated record. The transcript is spliced from 5 exons. NCBI's taxonomy places the organism in Eukaryota, Metazoa, Arthropoda, Collembola, Entomobryomorpha, Isotomidae.
CACUCUCUUCUAACGAGUGCACACGGUUGCAUUAGCGGAUAUGGUAGCGAUUAUUUUUAAAAGACUUGUAAAGAAAGUAAAGCUGCUUUCAAACUAACAACAGAGAAAGUAGAAAAAAACAUUUGUGCGUCUUUCACUCCGUGAAUGCGUGGUUUCUUCGAAGAAAGAUACUCUAAUAUAAAAGCUUAUUAGCAUCGAAAUUGCAGAUGUUGCUCCUUGCUCCGCUGGUCUGUCGACUAAUAAAGUUGUCUUUGUGGUGGUUGUGAAGUGAAAGUUGCUCCUUGGUUGGAGAAGCUGCUGGGUAAGUAAAGUUCCACUUUGUGACCAAUCCAGCACCACACUUCAUAAGACAACAUCAAGUUCAGUCUCUCCAAGCAAGCUGACUCCAAGCGGAUAUCACCACCAAAAGUGCCCUCUGCUAAAUUAAGCAGCCCUGCUGUUCGCAUAUAAAUAUCACUGUAUGUAGAUCGCCUUAUCCUAUAAGUACUUGCACUCGUAUACAAUUUGUUCUAUUUUCGUUGGACGAUAUCGAGAGAAUAUUUGAGAAAAUUUCUAAAGUGAUAUGUAUGAAGAGAGGACAUGAUCAUGUGCAUGCUAUAUACAUAUUAUCUAUCACAAACGAGCAAUGCAGGGAAGGACGCAGUGGUACGUAGAAUAUCUGUAUGCAUACAUAGGUAUAAUAAUUACUUAGAAAUUAGAAGGGAGUCUCUCACCACGGAAUUUAAUUACUUGCUCAACCACCCACCAAUACUCCAUCAUUAAGAGAGCUCAGGACAAUGAACAACUUCCUCGACCAGCAAACCAGCCAACUCGAGCUUGCUCAACUAACUUGUGUUGGUAGAGUGAAAGUGAAGUGCAAACUGGAAAUGCUUCAGUCUUCACUACUGAAAUUCUACAAGUUUUAGAAUAUUUGGCCAGUCCAGAAGAAUUAGGAGGAAAGUUUUGCCCGAUGUGUUAGUGGUGGCACUUUCAUUAGUUUGGCAGCUUUUAUGCACGUCCAUUGGUUAUACUAAUAAUACACACUAAAGACCAAUGAGGUCUGUAGUUGAGCACAAACAAAGUAUUAAUUUUUGUGUGCCUAGAGGUCACUUGAACACGCGUCUGUUGUUGAUACUGGAUGAAAUACACAAGACGAGGUCAGGUGGAUACUUGAAAUGCUACGAAAACAAAUUUGAAGCUCAAAGAGGAAUUUAUUCAGAUCCAGCAGCAGAGAGAUGAAACACAAAGCAAUAAGUGUUCUACAAUGUUAUUCACCAUCUAAAUUCUCUCAACUCAAAGGACGGAAAUUUCGAACCUGGUUUAAUUAAAGUUUGGAUAGAAAGUGGAAAGAAUAAAGGAGAGAGAAAGUACUAUUUUGACUUUGUAUAUGUCUUCCCGUCCUCCAAAACCUCUUCGUUCGAUACGCAGCACAGAACUGGGAACUGGAACAUGUUUUGAAAAUCGUUGGUGCAUAUAAAAUAAAUUUGGUGAACUACCAGGUUUUCUUCUCGUCUCGUGCAUAUGAUGGUGGAUGUGUAACUUUGUAUUGAAAUUGAAUAGCUGCUGCUCUUUCGCUGCUGAGAAGACAAAAGAAUUCAAUCGUGGUGGAUUGGAGCGCAGUGAUACCCAAGGAUCUAGGACAUAUUUUGACAAUUAUGGGGUGUGAUGUCCAUGAUGUGGGUGGGUAUUUGGAAGGAUGUCCUGAACGACCAAAGAUUGCGGGCUUAAAAUCCCUACGAACGGCAAGAGUCCUGAAGCAAGGAAUGGUCCUUACGAUCGAGCCCGGCUGCUAUUUUAUUGAUCACUUUUGACCAAAAUGCCACACCUAAACAAGUCAACAAUGAAAAUCUUCCUGCUUAAAUUGUCCAAAUGGAUGGAACCUACAUUCAGCAUGCUCGAUUUAAUGCCGAGAAGGGGAGAAUUUCACACAUGUUGCAACAAUGUGAUAUGCCUGUUUUGAUCUCUAUUUGCUUACCAUCAUCAUCAUCAUCAUCAUUGUGCCGUGUUUUGUAAAUAUCUAAGUUAGCACGUGUACACAAAGGAUCCAAUAAAU